AAUAGAAGCUCUAUUAGGUCUUUUUCUAAGGCUGCAACAUUCCUGAAAGUAAUGUUGUUAUCCAUGGAGACUCUAGCCUUGGACAUGUUAUCCCUCCCGUCUAGCCCAGGGGAGAAAAAGCAGUUAAGCUAGCUCCUCUGUAGGCCGGAAACUAAAGGUAUCUGCAUGGUGGCAAGAACCAGCAAGGGAGGGUGUGUUGGGGAGUUUCUACACAUCCUAAAAAAGCUCUGGAAUGUUUAGUCAAUCAGGCUGAGAGCUUUAGCUCUUGAAAUUUUCCACAGUCGAUAAUAAUAGGAGAAAGGGAGAACCAGACUAGAUCAGUUGAAAAAAGCCAGAUGGAUAUUGUCUCACACAGUUUGAAAUGAGGGUUUUUUGUUUUGUUUUGUUUUUUUUUAAUAGGCAAGGUUUCAAACAAACCAUUUGGAACCUUAAACUUGUCUGUGAGAUGUCUUCAAAAAUAAGAACAUCUGCAAGAUGGAGGAAGAAUGAACCAGACAAUAUUCACCUACAAGAGACAUACAACUUGUAACCAAACACACAUACACAAGCAGGAAAAGGUAUACAUUCAUGUCAGGAAUGUGGGCACCUCAGUUAUUCUCCAUACAAAAAAGCUUAUUUUCAAGCCUGCAAUGACACAAAGGGGGCAGACUGUCUUGCAUACUUUGGAUUAAUGAUGAUGAAAGAUGCUGUGGAAGUCAGUGUUUGUCCUGGACUGCUGAUAGGGAGAUGACAGGAAGCUGUGCCAACUCCUGGUUGGUAGACAGAAGAAGAAAAGCUGUUGUAGUCAAACAGAUGAGGAUUGCACUCUGGUACCCUGAGAGUACGCCCUUUCUUUUGUCUUUUUAGUCCCUGUGGCUUAUUAUGAAGAGGAAACCCCCAUACUCAGUCAAGCAUUGCUCAUACUGAACAGUUGAUGAAGAUCUGCCCUUACUGUACCAGCUAAGUCUUGCAAAAAGUCCAGUCCCCAAAAAACACCUAUACAGAAGUGAAGGAUGCACUAAUUUUUUGUUUUUCACUUAAAAAGCUAAAAACUGUGUUUAAAACAAAUAGCAUAAUUAUUACGGGGUUCAUGUAAGCUAAGAUUUCACCUGUUCCACAGAAGUUAUAUUUACAUUUAUUUCACAACUUAAUAGUCAAGUAUUACUGUACAGAGCUUGGCUGCUGCAAGGGCUGAGGUCUGAAUUCAGCGAUCCAGAGGAUUGCUGGUGACCCCUCAAAGUGUUCAGCCUGUUCCUGGUUUUCGUGCUCACCUGUGGUUUCUCCUGGAAAAUGCGCAACUCAACUGUCACCGACUUCUGAGACAGCAUUGAAAAUGGUUUUGGCAGGUCCUCAAUGGCACCUACUUGCAGGCAGUCCAGAUACAACUCUAUCG
This is a long non-coding RNA of Corapipo altera (White-ruffed manakin), 1372 nucleotides long. RefSeq lists it as uncharacterized. NCBI's taxonomy places the organism in Eukaryota, Metazoa, Chordata, Aves, Passeriformes, Pipridae. The record is from RefSeq and is a predicted model, not a curated record. The transcript has 3 exons.